GAUGAACGCUGGCGGCGUGCCUAAUACAUGCAAGUCGAGCGAACAGACGAGGAGCUUGCUCCUCUGACGUUAGCGGCGGACGGGUGAGUAACACGUGGAUAACCUACCUAUAAGACUGGGAUAACUUCGGGAAACCGGAGCUAAUACCGGAUAAUAUAUUGAACCGCAUGGUUCAAUAGUGAAAGACGGUUUUGCUGUCACUUAUAGAUGGAUCCGCGCCGCAUUAGCUAGUUGGUAAGGUAACGGCUUACCAAGGCAACGAUGCGUAGCCGACCUGAGAGGGUGAUGGGCCACACUGGAACUGAGACACGGUCCAGACUCCUACGGGAGGCAGAAGUAGGGAAUCUUCCGCAAAGGGCGAAAGCCUGACGGAGCAACGCCGCGUGAGUGAUGAAGGUCUUCGGAUCGUAAAACUCUGUUAUUAGGGAAGAACAAAUGUGUAAGUAACUAUGCACGUCUUGACGGUACCUAAUCAGAAAGCCACGGCUAACUACGUG
RNAcentral lists this ribosomal RNA (497 nucleotides) under uncultured bacterium. Its description in RNAcentral is "partial 16S ribosomal RNA". It matches the Rfam family "Bacterial small subunit ribosomal RNA", at positions 28 to 507 of the family's 1533-position model. The record is from RNAcentral.